This 450-nucleotide ribosomal RNA is filed under the name uncultured bacterium. RNAcentral describes it as "bacterial SSU rRNA". It matches the Rfam family "Bacterial small subunit ribosomal RNA", at positions 28 to 458 of the family's 1533-position model. The record is from RNAcentral.
GAUGAACGCUGGCGGCGUGCUUAACACAUGCAAGUCGAACGAAGCACUUUAUUUGAUUUCCUUCGGGACUGAUUAUUUUGUGACUGAGUGGCGGACGGGUGAGUAACGCGUGGGUAACCUGCCUUGUACAGGGGGAUAACAGUUGGAAACGGCUGCUAAUACCGCAUAAGCGCACGGCAUCGCAUGAUGCAGUGUGAAAAACUCUGGUGGUAUAAGAUGGACCCGCGUUGGAUUAGCUAGUUGGUGGGGUAACGGCCCACCAAGGCGACGAUCCAUAGCCGACCUGAGAGGGUGACCGGCCACAUUGGGACUGAGACACGGCCCAAACUCCUACGGGAGGCAGCAGUGGGGAAUAUUGCACAAUGGGCGAAAGCCUGAUGCAGCGACGCCGCGUGAGCGAAGAAGUAUUUCGGUAUGUAAAGCUCUAUCAGCAGGGAAGAUAAUGACGGU